RNAcentral lists this long non-coding RNA (603 nucleotides) under Lathyrus oleraceus (garden pea). RNAcentral describes it as "Pisum sativum (pea) long non-coding RNA (PSAT_LNC026520)". The record is from RNAcentral. Lineage: Eukaryota; Viridiplantae; Streptophyta; Magnoliopsida; Fabales; Fabaceae.
AACAUGGCUCAUGCAAAUAACAUUCAUUAACAGUUCAACUUAGCAUUUCAAUUUCCCACGUCCAAUUAACACCAACCAUUUCCAACUUAAGAUUAAAUUUAUAAAUGCUAACUCCUAAAACUAGCAUCAGUUCCCUUUCUUUAACUUUGCUUCAACUAAUCAACACUAACCUAACCACUAACUUAGUCAACAUUCUUUUGACAGUUCAGUUUACUAAUACAAUUCAAUAACGAGUUUUUUUACACUAGCUCUCAAGUCUCCAAUUUUAAACAUUCAAGCUAACCAUCAGGUUUUAACUGAUUCCAAACCUUAACCAUUAAUAGUCCUAGCAUACUAAUUAGCAUAGCAGCUCAAUAUUCAAAAAGUUCUAAAUAUUUCAUUUAACUUCUGCUAACAAUCACUCAUAUUUGCAUUAAUCAUAGCAGGUUUUGCAUCAAAUAAUCAAGCAAUGCAACCACAUCCUAGUAACAUGCUACUAACAGUUCAUCAACAUAGUAUUUCACUUCUAAACUCCAACAGUCCAACUAGCUAAAUCCAGAAAUGUCUAACCUUCACAAUCAGUUAACAAUAAGCUUGAAUAGCUAUUAACCGUAACAAUCAAAU